CAGGGCACACAGAAACGAAGAACCGCUCACACUCACACCUGAGGGCAAUUUAGAGCCACCUAUUAACCUUUAUGUCUUUGGUCGUAGGAGGAAGCACCUGGAGAGAACCCACGCAGACACGAGGAGAACAUACAAAUUUCACACAGGAAGGCCUGGGAGGACCAAGGAUUGAACCCUGGAUCUUCUUCCUGUGAGGCCACAGUGCUAACCAAUGCACCACCGUGCCGCCCUCUGAGUGUCACAGCACGAGCAAGCAGCUGACAGACCGACGGGCUGAUCGAGCUGCACAGCAGUGGACGAAUGCAGAUCUACCAAAACACAGCACUUGAUGAACCAUGACAGCAGAAGACAGAUGGUGUCCUCAUUGCCGUCCCCUGAGCUGCACCUCGCCUCAGGCUGCUCGCCCGCCUGACCCCCCCCCUCCUCCCGGCCUCAUAACCUGAACGCAUCACCG
Micropterus salmoides (largemouth bass) is the source of this 454-nucleotide long non-coding RNA. RefSeq lists it as uncharacterized. NCBI's taxonomy places the organism in Eukaryota, Metazoa, Chordata, Actinopteri, Centrarchiformes, Centrarchidae. The record is from RefSeq and is a predicted model, not a curated record. The transcript has 3 exons.